This 74-nucleotide transfer RNA is filed under the name Leifsonia sp. Leaf264. RNAcentral describes it as "tRNA-Glu". It matches the Rfam family "tRNA". Rfam says of the family: Transfer RNA (tRNA) molecules are approximately 80 nucleotides in length. Their secondary structure includes four short double-helical elements and three loops (D, anti-codon, and T loops). The record is from RNAcentral. Lineage: Bacteria; Bacillati; Actinomycetota; Actinomycetes; Micrococcales; Microbacteriaceae.
GGCCCCUUCGUCUAGCGGUCUAAGACACUGCGUUCUCAACGCAGGAAUCGCCGGUUCGAAUCCGGCAGGGGUCA